Molecule: ribosomal RNA, 449 nt
Filed under: uncultured bacterium
Lineage: Bacteria
Description: partial 16S ribosomal RNA
Rfam family: Bacterial small subunit ribosomal RNA
Source: RNAcentral
AGCGAACGCUGGCGGCAGGCCUAACACAUGCAAGUCGAACGGACCCUUCGGGGUUAGUGGCGGACGGGUGAGUAACACGUGGGAACGUGCCUUUAGGUUCGGAAUAGCUCCUGGAAACGGGUGGUAAUGCCGAAUGUGCCCUUCGGGGGAAAGAUUUAUCGCCUUUAGAGCGGCCGGCGCCUGAUUAGCUAGGUGGUGAGGUAACGGCGCACCAAGGCGACGAUCAGUAACUGGUCUGAGAGGAUGGCCAGCCACACUGGGCGUGAGACACGGGGCAGACUCCUAGAGGAGGGAGCAGGGGGGAAUCUUGCGCAAUGGGCGAAAGCCUGACGCAGCCAUGCGGCGUGAAUGAUGAAGGUCUUAGGAUUGUAAAAUUCUUUCACCGGGGACGAUAAUGACGGUACCCGGAGAAGAAGCCCCGGCUAACUUCGUGCCAGCAGCCGCAGUAA